AACGAACGCUGGCGGCAUGCCUAACACAUGCAAGUCGAACGAGAUCUUCGGAUCUAGUGGCGCACGGGUGCGUAACGCGUGGGAAUCUGCCCUUGGGUUCGGAAUAACAGUGAGAAAUUACUGCUACUACCAGAUGAUGUCUUCGGACCAAAGAUUUAUUGCCCAGGGAUGAGCCCGCGUAGGAUUAGCUAGUUGGUGGGGUAAUGGCCUACCAAGGCGACGAUCCUUAGCUGGUCUGAGAGGAUGAUCAGCCACACUGGGACUGAGACACGGCCCAGACUCCUACAGGAGGCAGCAGUGGGGAAUAUUGGACAAUGGGCGAAAGCCUGAUCCAGCAAUGCCGCGUGAGUGAUGAAGGCCUUAGGGUUGUAAAGCUCUUUUACCCGGGAUGAUAAUGACAGUACCGGGAGAAUAAGCUCCGGCUAACUCCGUGCCAGCCGCCGCUGUAA
RNAcentral lists this ribosomal RNA (449 nucleotides) under uncultured bacterium. RNAcentral describes it as "partial 16S ribosomal RNA". It matches the Rfam family "Bacterial small subunit ribosomal RNA", at positions 29 to 523 of the family's 1533-position model. The record is from RNAcentral.